AGUACCUACAAUAAAAUAUCUGUAGCAAAGUGAAUGCUUUGUGCUAAUAUUUGCACAGCUCCACAAUAUUGCAGUAAACACACUGAGCGGUAUAUAGACUGCAGGGAUUGCUCAGCAACUCAGUAGCACCAGCGACAUCAUGAGAACUCUCUGGCUGAUCAUCCUUGUAUUGGCGUGUGUGUGGCAGUGUGCGCUUGCGCAGGGCAGCAUAGACAAGUGCGGCCUCACGCAGGAGAUGUACAAGAAUCUCAAGAGUUAUGUAUUAAGCAAGUUUCCACUCUUAAUCGCUACAGACAUAUUGGAUAAAGUAUUUGCUACUUAAGUCAAAGGUUUUAUGCAAUCUUGUUCGCACUAUGUAUUUCCAUAUUGAUUACCUUACUGUAAUAAAUGUAUGAAUUGUAAUAAAGUAUGCGUUUGAGAUAACAA
Molecule: long non-coding RNA, 426 nt
Organism: Helicoverpa armigera (cotton bollworm)
Lineage: Eukaryota; Metazoa; Arthropoda; Insecta; Lepidoptera; Noctuidae
Exons: 2
Source: RefSeq, a predicted model, not a curated record